CUUUGUUCUCAAACUGUACAAAAAGAAGGAAGAAGUAUCUGAUGAGAAGAAGAAACAAAGACCUCUUUUGAAGCUCAGAACUGACUUCAACCGUCUCACUCCACAAGUCCAGAGGAUUCUUGAAAGACUUCCUCCAUAUUGCUCAUUGUUUGGGAAAUCCACUUCACCUUUUACUCUCGCCUUUCUUGCUUCGCUUCCUUGCACCAAAUAACACGUCCCACUCACUUGGCUUUUUGCUAACACAUUUUCCAAUAAAUUUUUGUUGUUGACAUCAAAAGCAAAAGUUAAAGGCCCUAAAGAGUAAAGACCAAAUAGUUGAAAUUCACAGUUCCAUCCGAUAAUCAUACCUCAAUUCCAGCAAAUUUGGAGACCCUGCAUAAUGGCUUUGUUCUCCCACUAGCAUUUGAGUUACUACAACAGAAGGUCAUCUAAUCCUUCAGUUUGAUCGUUACAUUCUUUUCUAUAAAAAAAAAAUCAAGGAA
RNAcentral lists this long non-coding RNA (482 nucleotides) under Capsella grandiflora. RNAcentral describes it as "long non-coding RNA (CGRA_LNC000530)". Lineage: Eukaryota; Viridiplantae; Streptophyta; Magnoliopsida; Brassicales; Brassicaceae. The record is from RNAcentral.